AGGGACCCUUGGUUUAAUCCUCUGUUUUACUGCCCAAGGCCGAGCCUUCUUUUCGCCAACCCAGCCGCCAGCGCCUAGGGUUAGUUCGCCGCUGCCGCCGCCACGAGCUCGCCUCUGCUGCUGUCUCGUGACUGCCCUGCUGCUGGUGCCGCAGUGGUUGCAGGCCUCGCUGCUCGCCGGCGUCUACAUUGGGAACUGCUGCCAGGUCCAGGUGUUCCGGGUGUGAGUCAUAAAUCUGCGGAUUAAUCGUCCCUCCUGUUUCGGGAUUAAGGCAAGUACUCCAAACAAUGGCAUGCAUGGGGGGAGUAGCAACACAAAAUCUGGACAGCACACAUCACACGUUAUCAAUUAGAGUCAUAGUUUCAUUCUUAAUGCGAGACAAAGUCACUGUUGAGAACCCCUUUCAUUUCCUUUGUUAGUUGGAGUCGUUAGCCUUCCUGUUUAGUUUACUUGGAGUUUACUUAAUUAUUAUGAACUACGUGCAUGACUUUCUAGUUGCUGGAAAUAUUUGAGAGAUUUUAUAAAUUGCCUGUCGUGGAUGUCCUUACAAACAAA
This is a long non-coding RNA of Brachypodium distachyon (stiff brome), 555 nucleotides long. RefSeq lists it as uncharacterized. The record is from RefSeq and is a predicted model, not a curated record. Lineage: Eukaryota; Viridiplantae; Streptophyta; Magnoliopsida; Poales; Poaceae. The transcript has 3 exons.